CUGAAUAUUUUAAAUGGCCGCAGUAUUUUAACUGUGCAAAGGUAGCAUAAUCAUUAGUCUCUUAAUUAGAGGCUUGUAUGAAUGGUUGGAUGAAAUAUUAACUGUUUCAUAUAAAUUUUUAUUAGAAUUUUAUUUUUUAGUUAAAAAGCUAAAAUUUUAUUAAAAGACGAGAAGACCCUAUAGAUCUUGAUAAUUUUUUAUUUUUAUUUAUAAAGAUUAUUUAAAUUACUAAUAAAUUAAUUAUUUUAUUGGGGUGAUAUUAAAAUUUAGUUAACUUUUAAUAAUUAAAAACAUUAAUUAAUGAAUUAUUGAUCCAUUUUUAGUGAUUAAAAAAUUAAGUUACCUUAGGGAUAACAGCGUAAUUUUUUUGGAGAGUUCAUAUCGAUAAAAAAGAUUGCGACCUCGAUGUUGAAUUAAGAAAUAGUUUUGGGCGUAGCAGUUCAAAUUUAAAGUCUGUUCGACUUUUAGAUUCUUACAUGA
This 480-nucleotide ribosomal RNA is filed under the name Empis sp. SNK-2009. Its description in RNAcentral is "partial 16S ribosomal RNA". It matches the Rfam family "Bacterial large subunit ribosomal RNA", at positions 1912 to 2603 of the family's 2925-position model. The record is from RNAcentral. Lineage: Eukaryota; Metazoa; Arthropoda; Insecta; Diptera; Empididae.